GAGAUGGCCGAGCUUGGUUAUGGCGUCAGGUUAAGGCUUCAGUCUUAACACCACGUUUCCUGAUGGGGCAACCCGCGUGGGUUCGAAUCCCACUCUC
Molecule: transfer RNA, 97 nt
Filed under: Exophiala xenobiotica
Lineage: Eukaryota; Fungi; Ascomycota; Eurotiomycetes; Chaetothyriales; Herpotrichiellaceae
Rfam family: tRNA
About the family: Transfer RNA (tRNA) molecules are approximately 80 nucleotides in length.
Source: Rfam by way of RNAcentral